ACUAUUUUGGCAGAUUAGUGCAAUAAAUUUAGAAUUUAUUUAUGUAAUAUUUAUUACAAAUAGUACUUGUUUUAU
Molecule: transfer RNA, 75 nt
Filed under: Drosophila borealis
Lineage: Eukaryota; Metazoa; Arthropoda; Insecta; Diptera; Drosophilidae
Also listed under: 1 other name
Description: tRNA-Leu
Source: RNAcentral